GGAUCAUUACCGAGUUUACAACUCCCAAACCCAAUGUGAACGUUACCAAACUGUUGCCUCGGCGGGAUCUCUGCCCCGGGUGCGUCGCAGCCCCGGACCAAGGCGCCCGCCGGAGGACCAACCAAAACUCUUUUUGUAUACCCCCUCGCGGGUUUUUUAUAAUCUGAGCCUUCUCGGCGCCUCUCGUAGGCGUUUCGAAAAUGAAUCAAAACUUUCAACAACGGAUCUCUUGGUUCUGGCAUCGAUGAAGAACGCAGCGAAAUGCGAUAAGUAAUGUGAAUUGCAGAAUUCAGUGAAUCAUCGAAUCUUUGAACGCACAUUGCGCCCGCCAGUAUUCUGGCGGGCAUGCCUGUCCGAGCGUCAUUUCAACCCUCGAACCCCUCCGGGGGGUCGGCGUUGGGGAUCGGCCCUGCCUCUUGGCGGUGGCCGUCUCCGAAAUACAGUGGCGGUCUCGCCGCAGCCUCUCCUGCGCAGUAGUUUGCACACUCGCAUCGGGAGCGCGGCGCGUCCACAGCCGUUAAACACCCAACU
This 531-nucleotide ribosomal RNA is filed under the name Trichoderma harzianum. Its description in RNAcentral is "eukaryotic LSU rRNA". The stretch from base 210 to 363 matches the Rfam family "5.8S ribosomal RNA". Lineage: Eukaryota; Fungi; Ascomycota; Sordariomycetes; Hypocreales; Hypocreaceae. The record is from RNAcentral.